Molecule: ribosomal RNA, 462 nt
Filed under: uncultured bacterium
Lineage: Bacteria
Description: bacterial SSU rRNA
Rfam family: Bacterial small subunit ribosomal RNA
Source: RNAcentral
GACGAACGCUGGCGGCGUGCUUAACACAUGCAAGUCGAACGGUAAGGCCCUUCGGGGUACACGAGUGGCGAACGGGUGAGUAACACGUGGGUGAUCUGCCCUGCACUUCGGGAUAAGCCUGGGAAACUGGGUCUAAUACCGGAUAGGACUCCGAAUCGCAUGGUUUGGGGUGGAAAGCUUUUGCGGUGUGGGAUGGGCCCGCGGCCUAUCAGCUUGUUGGUGGGGUGAUGGCCUACCAAGGCGACGACGGGUAGCCGGCCUGAGAGGGUGUCCGGCCACACUGGGACUGAGAUACGGCCCAGACUCCUACGGGAGGCAGCAGUGGGGAAUAUUGCACAAUGGGCGCAAGCCUGAUGCAGCGACGCCGCGUGAGGGAUGACGGCCUUCGGGUUGUAAACCUCUUUCAAUAGGGACGAAGCGUAAGUGACGGUACCUAUAGAAGAAGCACCGGCCAACUACGUG